RNAcentral lists this ribosomal RNA (279 nucleotides) under uncultured bacterium. RNAcentral describes it as "partial 16S ribosomal RNA". It matches the Rfam family "Bacterial small subunit ribosomal RNA", at positions 506 to 784 of the family's 1533-position model. The record is from RNAcentral.
UGCCAGCCGCCGCGGUAAUACGGAGGGUCCGAGCGUUAUCCGGAAUCAUUGGGCGUAAAGCGCGCGUAGGUGGUUUGAUAAGCUAGCUGUGAAAGCCCCGGGCUCAACCUGGGAACUGCAGUUAGAACUGUCUGACUAGAGUAUGGUAGAGGAAAGUGGAAUUUCUGGUGUAGCGGUGAAAUGCGUAGAUAUCAGAAGGAACAUCAACGGCGAAGGCAGCUUUCUGGACCAAUACUGACGCUGAGGUACGAAAGCGUGGGUAGCAAACAGGAUUAGAUA